RNAcentral lists this ribosomal RNA (490 nucleotides) under uncultured bacterium. RNAcentral's name for it is "partial 16S ribosomal RNA". It matches the Rfam family "Bacterial small subunit ribosomal RNA", at positions 30 to 507 of the family's 1533-position model. The record is from RNAcentral.
AUUGAACGCUGGCGGCAUGCCUUACACAUGCAAGUCGAACGGCAGCAUGAUCUAGCUUGCUAGAUUGAUGGCGAGUGGCGGACGGGUGAGUAAUACAUCGGAACGUGCCCUGUAGUGGGGGAUAACUAGUCGAAAGAUUAGCUAAUACCGCAUACGACCUGAGGGUGAAAGUGGGGGACCGCAAGGCCUCAUGCUAUAGGAGCGGCCGAUGUCUGAUUAGCUAGUUGGUGAGGUAAAGGCUCACCAAGGCGACGAUCAGUAGCUGGUCUGAGAGGACAAUCAGCCACACUGGGACUGAGACACGGCCCAGACUCCUACGGGAGGCAGCAGUGGGGAAUUUUGGACAAUGGGCGAAAGCCUGAUCCAGCAAUGCCGCGUGUGUGAAGAAGGCCUUCGGGUUGUAAAGCACUUUUGUCCGGAAAGAAAUGGCUCUGGUUAAUACCUGGGGUCGAUGACGGUACCGGAAGAAUAAGGACCGGCUAACUACGUG